GUGUACAACCAUACCACCCUGAACAUGCCCAAUCUCAUCUGAUCUCGGAAGCUAAGCAGGGUCGGGCCUGGUUAGCACUUGGAUUGGGGAAUAGAAAGGCAGCUCAUGGGAUGGGAAAAU
RNAcentral lists this ribosomal RNA (120 nucleotides) under Heterocephalus glaber (naked mole-rat). Lineage: Eukaryota; Metazoa; Chordata; Mammalia; Rodentia; Bathyergidae. The record is from RNAcentral.